Molecule: unclassified non-coding RNA, 352 nt
Filed under: soil metagenome
Description: partial contains 5.8S ribosomal RNA, internal transcribed spacer 2, and large subunit ribosomal RNA
Rfam family: 5.8S ribosomal RNA (bases 1-120)
Source: RNAcentral
GAUGAAGAAAGUAGCGAAAUGCGAUAAGUUAUGUGAAUUGCAGAAUUCAGUGAAUCAUCGAAUCUUUGAACGCACAUUGCGCCCGCCAGUAUUCUGGCGGGCAUGCCUGUUCGAGCGUCAUUUCAACCCUCAGGCCCCCAGUGCCUGGUGUUGGGGAUCGGCCCAGCCUUCCUGUAAGGCCGCCGGCCCCGAAAUCUAGUGGCGGUCUCGCUGUAGUCCUCCUCUGCGUAGUAGCACAACCUCGCAGUUGGAACGCGGCGGUGGCCAUGCCGUUAAACACCCCACUUCUGAAAGUUGACCUCGGAUCAGGUAGGAAUACCCGCUGAACUUAAGCAUAUCAAUAAGCGGAGGA